Long non-coding RNA from Hippocampus zosterae (dwarf seahorse), 337 nucleotides. RefSeq lists it as uncharacterized. Lineage: Eukaryota; Metazoa; Chordata; Actinopteri; Syngnathiformes; Syngnathidae. The transcript is spliced from 2 exons. The record is from RefSeq and is a predicted model, not a curated record.
GAAAGCAGUCGGACCCUCCUGGUAGACCAGCGCCACAAUGUCAUUACCAAUGUGUCUCUUUCUUUGCAGCUGUGGGACAAGGAGGAGAUAUUUCUCAGUACUGGCAGUCUGCGCGCAGCCAAAAAUGAAAACGACAGCUCCGCAUCAUGAAGCCGACUGACCCGUGAGCGGAAGAAGUCCCGGUAGAUGUUGGCCUCGCCGUCCCUUUCCAUGAGUUCGUAGCUGUGUGCUGGGAGGCCGCGAUGGGAGGAGGUCAGACCGGCAUCUGCAAGCUUCGCCAAAGGAGGGUCUAUCCAGUAGCCCCCCAGCUUCGCCGGGAGGAUGAUUGGCAGCUCUC